ACUAUCUAGGCCAGUAUAUAAUGGUGAAGCAGCUCUAUGAUCAACAGGAGCAACAUCUGGUGUACUGUGGUGGAGACCUUUUGGGAGAUCUACUUGGAUGUCAGAGCUUUUCUGUGAAAGAUCCAAGCCCUCUGUAUGACAUGCUAAGAAAGAACCUUGUUACGUCAGCCUCUGUUAACACAGGUAUGUUAUAUGUUUCUUCAGUUUGUAUUGAAGCUUUGAGUUUAAGGAAGCAAAUGAUGGGAACCAGGGUCAAGAUGAAAUGGAGUGCUGUCUAUGACAUGACUGCAGGGAUGUUGGUAUGACUGUUUGUCAUACAGCAUGGUAUUACUGUUAAGUAAAUUCUCACUGAUGAACUCAGUCAUACUGAAGCUUAGAGAGGAGCGAUGUCUAUAUCCUAGAUGGGAUGUUUUUCUUUAUACAGCAUAAG
Molecule: long non-coding RNA, 430 nt
Filed under: Rattus norvegicus (Norway rat)
Lineage: Eukaryota; Metazoa; Chordata; Mammalia; Rodentia; Muridae
Description: long non-coding RNA NONRATT008705
Source: RNAcentral